GAUGAACGCUGACAGAAUGCUUAACACAUGCAAGUCAUUGGCGAAGCUGCGCUUGCGCAGUCUAGCCAAGGCGAACGGGUGAGUAACGCGUAAGGAACUUGCCCUGCAGACAGGGAUAACAGACGGAAACGACUGAUAACACCUGGUAUUGUCAGGCUGGCGCAUGCCGGCCUGAUGAAAGGAGACGCUGCAGGAGAGCCUUGCGUCCUAUUAGCUAGUUGGUGGGGUAACGGCCCACCAAGGCGAUGAUAGGUAGCCGGCCUGAGAGGGUGAACGGCCACAAGGGGACUGAGAUACGGCCCUUACUCCUACGGGAGGCAGCAGUGGGGAAUAUUGGACAAUGGGGGCAACCCUGAUCCAGCAAUUCUGUGUGCACGAAGAAGGUUUUCGGAUUGUAAAGUGCUUUCAGCAGGGAAGAAGAAAGUGACGGUACCUGCAGAAGAAGCGACGGCUAAAUACGUG
This 462-nucleotide ribosomal RNA is filed under the name uncultured bacterium. RNAcentral's name for it is "partial 16S ribosomal RNA". It matches the Rfam family "Bacterial small subunit ribosomal RNA", at positions 28 to 507 of the family's 1533-position model. The record is from RNAcentral.